GAUGAACGCUGGCGGCGUGCCUAAUACAUGCAAGUCGAGCGAACAGACGAGGAGCUUGCUCCUCUGACGUUAGCGGCGGACGGGUGAGUCACACGUGGAUAACCUACCUAUAAGACUGGGAUAACUUCGGGAAACCGGAGCUAAUACCGGAUAAUAUAUUGAACCGCAUUGUUCAAUAGUGAAAGACGGUUUUGCUGUCACUUAUAGAUUGAUCCGCGCCGCAUUAGCUAGUUGGUAAGGUAACGGCUUACCCAGGCAACGAUGCGUAGCCGACCUGAGAGGGUGAUCGGCCACACUGGAACUGAGACACGGUCCAGACUCCUACGGGAGGCAGCAGUAGGGAAUCUUCCGCAAUGGGCGAAAGCCUGACGGAGCAACGCCGCGUGAGUGAUGAAGGUCUUCGGAUCGUAAAACUCUGUUAUUAGGGAAGAACAAAUGUGUAAGUAACUAUGCACGUCUUGACGGUACCUAAUCAGAAAGCCACGGCUAACUACGUG
This 497-nucleotide ribosomal RNA is filed under the name uncultured bacterium. Its description in RNAcentral is "partial 16S ribosomal RNA". It matches the Rfam family "Bacterial small subunit ribosomal RNA", at positions 28 to 507 of the family's 1533-position model. The record is from RNAcentral.